GGUUGUGGCUCAGUGGUAGAGCGCUCGCCUAGCAAGUGCAAGGCCCUGGGUUGGAUCCUCAGCACCA
RNAcentral lists this transfer RNA (67 nucleotides) under Marmota monax (woodchuck). Its description in RNAcentral is "tRNA.Ala". The record is from RNAcentral. Lineage: Eukaryota; Metazoa; Chordata; Mammalia; Rodentia; Sciuridae.